CAAGAUAUAGCUUAAACAAAGCACCUAGUUUACACCUAGAAGAUUUCACAUGUCACGAAUAUCUUGA
RNAcentral lists this transfer RNA (67 nucleotides) under Cervus elaphus (red deer). RNAcentral's name for it is "tRNA-Val". RNAcentral also lists the same sequence under 3 other names. Lineage: Eukaryota; Metazoa; Chordata; Mammalia; Artiodactyla; Cervidae. The record is from RNAcentral.